GAUGAACGCUGGCGGCGUGCCUAAUACAUGCAAGUCGAGCGAACAGACGAGGAGCUUGCUCCUCUGACGUUAGCGGCGGACGGGUGAGUAACACGUGGAUAACCUACCUAUAAGACUGGGAUAACUUCGGGAAACCGGAGCUAAUACCGGAUAAUAUAUUGAACCGCAUGGUUCAAUAGUGAAAGACGGUUUUGCUGUCACUUAUAGAUGGAUCCGCGCCGCAUUAGCUAGUUGGUAAGGUAACGGCUUACCAAGGCAACGAUGCGUAGCCGACCUGAGAGGGUGGUCGGCCACACUGGAACUGAGACACGGUCCAGACUCCUACGGGAGGCAGCAGUAGGGAAUCUUCCGCAAUGGGCGAAAGCCUGACGGAGCAACGACGCGUGAGUGAUGAAGGUCUUCGGAUCGUAAAACUCUGUUAUUAGGGAAGAACAAAUGUGUAAGUAACUAUGCACGUCUUGACGGUACCUAAUCAGAAAGCCACGGCUAACUACGUG
Molecule: ribosomal RNA, 497 nt
Filed under: uncultured bacterium
Lineage: Bacteria
Description: partial 16S ribosomal RNA
Rfam family: Bacterial small subunit ribosomal RNA
Source: RNAcentral